This 253-nucleotide ribosomal RNA is filed under the name uncultured bacterium. Its description in RNAcentral is "partial 16S ribosomal RNA". It matches the Rfam family "Bacterial small subunit ribosomal RNA", at positions 524 to 776 of the family's 1533-position model. The record is from RNAcentral.
CACGUAGGAGGCGAGCGUUGUCCGGAAUCAUUGGGCGUAAAGAGCGCGCAGGCGGCUUGACAAGUCGGGUGUGAAAUCCCGGGGCUCAACCCCGGGACUGCAUUCGAUACUGUCAGGCUAGAGGUAGGUAGGGGAGAUCGGAAUUCCUGGUGUAGCGGUGAAAUGCGCAGAUAUCAGGAGGAACACCGGUGGCGAAGGCGGCAUCCUGGACCAACACUGACGCUGAGGAGCGAAAGCCAGGGGAGCAAACGGG